Non-coding RNA from Lentinula novae-zelandiae, 95 nucleotides. The record is from the annotation of a GenBank genome assembly. NCBI's taxonomy places the organism in Eukaryota, Fungi, Basidiomycota, Agaricomycetes, Agaricales, Omphalotaceae.
GGCGCUAUAGCCAAGUGGUUACGGCGACAGAUUAGAAUAGUCAUUAUCAGAUCUGUUCCUCUUUGAGGGCGCAGGUUCAAAUCCUGCUGGCGUCG